Astatotilapia calliptera (eastern happy) is the source of this 1751-nucleotide long non-coding RNA. NCBI's taxonomy places the organism in Eukaryota, Metazoa, Chordata, Actinopteri, Cichliformes, Cichlidae. The record is from Ensembl.
AUACACGUACAUCAGCCAAAAGAAGAAUGCCCUGUGACAUUUGUUCUGAUACCACCACAGGAGACACCCGGACGUUCAGCUAAUUAGGGAAGGAAAGAGUCCCGACUGUGCUGUGAUGGGGAGUUCAAGUCAGGUGGCUGCAGUGAUAGCUGUUCUCCUCGACAAAUGAUCUGAUGGAUAUUUUCUCACUGCUACACUCCCCCAACCUGCAUGUUUAUACUAUAUUUAAUGGACUCCUGAGAAAACCACUCUGUCUUCCCCAUUUAACUUUAUAUUGUACAACACGAUAUGCUGCUCCAAGUACUUUUCCUUAAAGUGUCUCUGGAAAACUUUCUGAGUCAGCAGAGAGAAACGCAGCCUCACAGCAGCAAGCUUUUCCAUGGCAGCAGAGCGGGCUGGGAACCGCACACGGGAUCUGAUCUGUGAAUGGCCCUCAGUGCAAUCCAGAGUAACAAUGCGGCUCAUCGAUGAAAACCUUCAUUGUCUUUGCUCUCAGUCUCUGAGGACUCACUGCACAAAGGGGGUUUUGUCACAGUGCCCAGCCUCUCUCCUUUGUCGGAAGUACAGCAAACCAGUCAAAUCUACUGCUUAAAGGUGAUGCAGCAGGGUUUCUAAACAUGCCCUGCUUCAGAUAAGAACCCCUUGUCUCCUGGAAGCUUUUGUAUAGGCAAAAUUUGUAUGCUCUUUUCUUUCUACACUGCAGUAGAAAGUGGAUAAUGAAGACGGUUUCCAUUGCGGCAGUCAUGUCGGUGAUAUACGGCAUCAUUUAAAUUCUCCAUUGUAACAAUGAAAACCUACACUUAUGGCAUGUAAAUCACCAAAAGGCAGAGUGGAACAGCAGCCCUCUUAGCAGACAGCACCACUUUUCCAUCCAUAGGGUGAAGGAAAACUUAAGGACAGAAUGGAGUUUUUUGUCAUUUGUUUAUGGACAAUAGACUUUCUCAAGUUAACGACUAGUUGUGUAAAGAGUUACUUCACUAACUUCCUUACUCCUUAAUUUGUUGUGGGAUCCUUUAAAAAUAAAUAGCAAGAAUAAAAAAACAAAAUGUGGCCUGAAAUUUGUGUCAUAAUCGAAACAAAAACAAAAUCUCUGGGCAGGGUCCUUUCAGUAGUUGUAUUUCCCCAGGUGAACUUUAAAUGUUUUCUGAGGUCUUUAAGGACCAAAGUUGAUAACUUUUGAGCAUUUUGGGACAGCAGAAAAUAGAUUGUCACGUUUUACAUUUACACAUUCAGCUUAUGUAAAUCAAAAUGACUCAUUUGUUGUCACUUUGAGAGUCAAAAUGUUUUUUGGCUCAAGAGUGAAUCCUGUUUAAAGCUGCCCUUCCAUAAACGGCUACUUGAGUUUGACUCCAAAAUCACCCAUGCUGUGUUAAAAUGCCCAACUUUACAGCAUCUGUUUACACUAAAAGUUGCUGAAAGGAUUGUUGUUUUGGUUUCUGUGUUUCGUUUUUUAAACCUGAAUCACAAUGAAUUUUGCGGUUUGCUACCGGAGCUAGCUGGUUAACACUAGUUCUAGGUGGUCAUAGCUCAGUUCAGCUGUCUAGCCUGAAAAAACAAGAUUGCAAUGACCAAAACCAAUGGGUGACGCCUAUGAGUCAAAUAUUUAACUGCACCCUCUAAAUGACCAGUGGAUGGAUGCUUGCCUUGAGAUACCAUAUGUUUCAUCUCAGCAAUGCCUGGCAUCAUGUUCCUGGUCAAAACUCAACUACAAACAGACAGAUGUUGAUGUUGUUUCCAUGCAGAACAAAGGU